GAUGAACGCUGGCGGCGUGCCUAAUACAUGCAAGUCGAGCGCGAGAGUGAGGAGCUUGCUCCUCAUAAUCGAGCGGCGGACGGGUGAGUAACACGUAGGCAACCUACCCUUGAGAUUGGGAUAAUUACCGGAAACGGUAGAUAGUACCGGAUACGACUUUUCCACAUAAGUGGAAUGGUUAAAAGGCGGAUUUAUCUGCCGCUCAUGGAUGGGCCUGCGGUGCAUUAGCUAGUUGGGGAGGUAGUGGCUCACCAAGGCGACGAUGCAUAGCCGACCUGAGAGGGUGAUCGGCCACACUGGGACUGAGACACGGCCCAGACUCCUACGGGAGGCAGCAGUAGGGAAUCUUCCGCAAUGGACGAAAGUCUGACGGAGCAACGCCGCGUGAGUGAUGAAGGGUUUCGGCUCGUAAAACUCUGUUGUUAAGGAAGAACACUUGAGGUAGUAACUGGCCUUGAGAUGACGGUACUUAACCAGAAAGCCCCGGCUAACUACGUGCCAGCCGCCGCCGUAA
This 514-nucleotide ribosomal RNA is filed under the name uncultured bacterium. RNAcentral's name for it is "partial 16S ribosomal RNA". It matches the Rfam family "Bacterial small subunit ribosomal RNA", at positions 28 to 523 of the family's 1533-position model. The record is from RNAcentral.